RNAcentral lists this ribosomal RNA (576 nucleotides) under uncultured bacterium. RNAcentral describes it as "bacterial SSU rRNA". It matches the Rfam family "Bacterial small subunit ribosomal RNA", at positions 338 to 916 of the family's 1533-position model. The record is from RNAcentral.
CCUACGGGAGGCAGCAGUGAGGAAUAUUGGACAAUGGGCGCAAGCCUGAUCCAGCCAUGCCGCGUGCAGGAAGACGGUCCUAUGGAUUGUAAACUGCUUUUGUACGGGAAGAAACACUCCUACGUGUAGGAGCUUGACGGUACCGUAAGAAUAAGGAUCGGCUAACUCCGUGCCAGCAGCCGCGGUAAUACGGAGGAUCCAAGCGUUAUCCGGAAUCAUUGGGUUUAAAGGGUCCGUAGGCGGUUUAGUAAGUCAGUGGUGAAAGCCCAUCGCUCAACGAUGGAACGGCCAUUGAUACUGCUAGACUUGAAUUACUAGGAGGUAACUAGAAUAUGUAGUGUAGCGGUGAAAUGCUUAGAUAUUACAUGGAAUACCAAUUGCGAAGGCAGGUUACUACUAGUGGAUUGACGCUGAUGGACGAAAGCGUGGGGAGCGAACAGGAUUAGAUACCCUGGUAGUCCACGCCGUAAACGAUGGAUACUAGCUGUUCGGGGCAACCUGAGUGGCUAAGCGAAAGUGAUAAGUAUCCACCUGGGGAGUACGUUCGCAAGAAUGAAACUCAAAUGAAAUUGACGG